This 562-nucleotide ribosomal RNA is filed under the name uncultured Delftia sp. Its description in RNAcentral is "bacterial SSU rRNA". It matches the Rfam family "Bacterial small subunit ribosomal RNA", at positions 338 to 918 of the family's 1533-position model. The record is from RNAcentral. Lineage: Bacteria; Pseudomonadati; Pseudomonadota; Betaproteobacteria; Burkholderiales; Comamonadaceae.
CCUACGGGAGGCAGCAGUGGGGAAUAUUGGACAAUGGGCGCAAGCCUGAUCCAGCCAUGCCGCGUGAGUGAUGAAGGCCUUAGGGUUGUAAAGCUCUUUCACCGGAGAAGAUAAUGACGGUAUCCGGAGAAGAAGCCCCGGCUAACUACGUGCCAGCAGCCGCGGUAAUACGUAGGGUGCGAGCGUUAAUCGGAAUUACUGGGCGUAAAGCGUGCGCAGGCGGUUAUGUAAGACAGAUGUGAAAUCCCCGGGCUCAACCUGGGAACUGCAUUUGUGACUGCAUGGCUAGAGUACGGUAGAGGGGGAUGGAAUUCCGCGUGUAGCAGUGAAAUGCGUAGAUAUGCGGAGGAACACCGAUGGCGAAGGCAAUCCCCUGGACCUGUACUGACGCUCAUGCACGAAAGCGUGGGGAGCAAACAGGAUUAGAUACCCUGGUAGUCCACGCCCUAAACGAUGUCAACUGGUUGUUGGGAAUUAGUUUUCUCAGUAACGAAGCUAACGCGUGAAGUUGACCGCCUGGGGAGUACGGCCGCAAGGUUGAAACUCAAAUGAAUUGACGGGG